GUUAUUCAACUCAGUUCCUUCAAUAACAGCAUGGUCUAGCCAUUGGAGAUCCAACACUCAUCACCUACCCGCCUUCCCCUGCAUGUGCUUUUGUCUGGAGAAGUCAUUUAGUCAAAUGCCACUUCUUGGCUCUAGUCAUGCGUAGUUAUUAUGUCAUUGUGACGUACUAUGGGAUUAGUAUAUUGACAUUUGUGUACAGG
This 200-nucleotide long non-coding RNA is filed under the name Phoenix dactylifera (date palm). Its description in RNAcentral is "long non-coding RNA (PDAC_LNC000905)". The record is from RNAcentral. Lineage: Eukaryota; Viridiplantae; Streptophyta; Magnoliopsida; Arecales; Arecaceae.